AUCUGUAGCUCAGCUGGAUAGAGCGUCAGACUCCGACUCUGAAGGCCGUGGGUUCGAAUCCCGUCAGAUGC
This 71-nucleotide transfer RNA is filed under the name human gut metagenome. It matches the Rfam family "tRNA". From Rfam's summary of the family: Transfer RNA (tRNA) molecules are approximately 80 nucleotides in length. Their secondary structure includes four short double-helical elements and three loops (D, anti-codon, and T loops). Further hydrogen bonds mediate the characteristic L-shaped molecular structure. tRNAs have two regions of fundamental functional importance: the anti-codon, which is responsible for specific mRNA codon recognition, and the 3' end, to which the tRNAs corresponding amino acid is attached (by aminoacyl-tRNA synthetases). tRNAs cope with the degeneracy of the genetic code in two manners: having more than one tRNA (with a specific anti-codon) for a particular amino acid; and 'wobble' base-pairing, i.e. permitting non-standard base-pairing at the 3rd anti-codon position. The record is from RNAcentral. RNAcentral also lists the same sequence under 1 other name.